This is a long non-coding RNA of Prunus dulcis (almond), 185 nucleotides long. RefSeq lists it as uncharacterized. The transcript is spliced from 3 exons. NCBI's taxonomy places the organism in Eukaryota, Viridiplantae, Streptophyta, Magnoliopsida, Rosales, Rosaceae. The record is from RefSeq and is a predicted model, not a curated record.
CAGGUGCGAAAUCUCUAGUUGUUUGGACUCAGGGUUCCAUUUGACAGCGCACUCGCACUAGCCCAAAUUUCUUUAUAAUUAGGGAGUCUGUGAAUCAUUUUGCAUUUCAAGAGGAAUGGAAAAAGACUUGAAGAUGAGCUGCCCCUUGAAGCAAAUGGAGACUACACCAAGUCAAGGAGGAGGAG